This 734-nucleotide long non-coding RNA is filed under the name Homo sapiens (human). Its description in RNAcentral is "novel transcript". The record is from RNAcentral. Lineage: Eukaryota; Metazoa; Chordata; Mammalia; Primates; Hominidae.
AACCCUUGCUGCACGUGACCACCAAGGGAGCUUUUGAAAACUACCGGUGCCUGGGCUGGCAUUCCCAGAGAUUAUUGCAACUGGCUGGGGUGGGUUCUGGCCGCUGGUGUUGUCUAAGAGCUUUGGGGAAUAUCACAGAAGUGAAGUGCAAUUCUCAUCAUGUCAUAUCAAGAGCACACACUAACAAACAACAUGACUUAUUGCUGAAUAUUGAACUUGAUCACCUGGCUGAGGUAGUGUUUGCCAGAUUUCUCUGUAAAGGUGAAUAAACUGACACUGGAACAUUCAGGAACUUCUUCAUGGUCAUGGUCACCCAGCUAGAGUGUGGAAGCCAGGCUGUCUGAUUCCAGGAUCUGUGUUCUUAAUCCUAUACAUAAGGAAGCCAUAAUGAGUCAACCACUAUUUUUAAGAUUCACAGAUGUUCGGGUCCAAUUCACCAGAAUGCCAAGUUAUACAGGGUUGUGGAAUCAAAAACUGCAAUUAGUAAUAAAAUGUGAUGCUAUCUAGAAUGUUUUUCAUACAUAUAUAUGCUUCUUGGGACUCUCCCUGCAGGUUAAGAGAAAUUGAGAAACGAUGGAGAAUUUAAGUGUUUUAGAUCCUACAUACAUUAGACUUAAAAAUAGUAACUAUGUACAUGAGUAUUUGUAAACUUAAGAAUGAACAUAACAUGAACCAUGUGGCACCUAUAAAAUGAAAAUAAAAUACCUACAAACCAAAUGAGAGCAAUAAAAGAA